Mesocricetus auratus (golden hamster) is the source of this 4922-nucleotide long non-coding RNA. RefSeq lists it as uncharacterized. NCBI's taxonomy places the organism in Eukaryota, Metazoa, Chordata, Mammalia, Rodentia, Cricetidae. The record is from RefSeq and is a predicted model, not a curated record. The transcript is spliced from 2 exons.
CUGAUAGAGCCGGAAGGAGAAAGUGUGCUCUGGAUCACAGACAGCACGGCACCUGGCUGGGAAGGAUCCAGACACAGAGUAUUGCUGGAUUCCCAUGAGUAUGAACGUUCCUAUGCUGGGGCAGGACCAAGGCUUGCUAACUUGACAAUUGAACUCAACUCUGUUACCCUGAAUUGGGCAAUGAACAUCAAGAGAGGAGGAGAAAUGUGCUCAAGGCCACAUGAGCAAGACUGGAACCCAGAACUCCUAACCACAAGCUCACAGGCAGCAAAGCAGCAUAACCUCUUAAAAUCGGUGCACCGAAGACAGAGUAGACUUCAUCUCCGUGGUCUCCUAUCACCGUUUUGGGCUUCAUUUCUGGUGAGAAGCUUGGGCGAUAUUGAAACUCAUACACGUAGGUGGGGGCUCCAGCAUCUGGGAAGACAUGGAUUCAUGUACAGUUCAAGUUGCCAGACACAAGCCUCAGUGGUUUUGAGGGCUCAAAACCCUAGAAGUACCUUACAGAAACCCUUAGAGUUUUUAUCAUUUAAGCACAAAGAUAAUGAUGGAUAACACAAGACAAAUAAAAGGCAUGAAAGUCAAUGACAAAGAACAACAAACAAUAUUCAGAAAAUCUAGCAUGGCCUUGACAAUCUUGGUUCUUAGUAUAGAGACAAGACAAAGUGUUAUAAAAACACAACUAAAUCAAAUGAUAUCUGUAGCCAAACUAUUUUCAUUACAAAGUGAUAUACAUUCUCAUAUCAAAGACACAAAAGGGUAUAUGGUAGAGGGAUGUAAAAUGGAGAGUUGUUCUAUCAAUCAAAAUUGUGCCUAGUGUCCUAUACCAGAGCGUCUCAGUAUAAAUUAAGUGUUAGAAGAUCUGAAAGGUCAGAUUUUCAGAUAUAAAAUUCAUAAGGAAACACAGAUCUUGAUCAGUAUUUUGAAAAACCAAUCUAAUAGCAUUGUGCAUAAUAUUCCACCCAGCACCAACACAGUACCUAUUAGUUUCCAGCACUCAUGGGACAUUCUGCUGAAACGAUCCCAUGUGAGGACAAAACACAAUUAUCAGCUAAUACAAGAAGACUGGGAUUGGAGCUAGUAUCCUUUCUGAUCACAAUGGAUUGAAACUAGUCAUCAACUACAGGAGGAAUUUUGGAAAAUUCAUAGACUCUUGGAAAGAAACAUGGUUCUGAGCUACUAAUAUGUCUGUUAUGAAACUAAGUGAAAAAAAUUAAAGCAUAUUAAAACAGGGCUGGAGAGAUGGCUUGGUGGGAAGGCCUUCGGCUCAUAAGAGUCAGGACAAGGGUUUGGAUGCCCAGCACAUGUGUAAAAUACAGCCGACCUUUGGCAUUAUAGGCUGACAUAAUCCGAGUGGACUGGAGGCAGAGCCAGGGGAUCUCCAGAGCAAACUGACUAGUUAGAUAAACCUGAACUGUUAAGACCUGAGUUCAAGCCAAAGGCCCUGUCUCAAUAUGUAAGAUGCAGAGCAACAGAGUUCUGGUCUUUACACUCACACACACGAGUGUAAGAAAAUGGAGUCAACAGCAUCACAACUUGCCAAAACUUACGGGAUAUAGCAAAAGCAGUUGCCUGAGAAACAUUCAUAACAUUAAACAAUGACAUCUAAAAAGAAGCAAAGUAUCAAAUGACCUACAGUUACAUAAAAGGGAUUUAAAAGGCCAACAAAGUAAGCCCAAGGAUAACAGGAAGAAGAAAUACAUAGGAGCAGAUAAAAAAGCAAAGGCCUAGAGAGUCAGCUCAGCAGUGAAGAGCCCUGGCUGCUCUUCUAGAGGAUCUGCCUUCAGUUCUCAGCAUCCAGUUGUCAGCUCCUACAUGGGGGCUCACAAGCCACACACAGCUCCAGGGGAUCCAAUUCCUCCUCUGGCUUCCGUGGACACAGGCACACAUGGUGCACAGAUACGUAUGAAGGAAAAAUGUCCACAAUCAUAAAACUAAGAAUAUUUUUAAAGUGAGUUCUGAAACUAUAAGAAAGGAUAAGAGAAAUCAUGAAUUUUUUUCGUUCCUGUUUUUAAAAAGAAAAUCAAAAAAUAACAAACCUUUAAUCAAACUAAGAAAAAGAGAGAGGACUUACACAAAUGAAAGAAAUGAAAGGCCUGGUGUUACAAAUGCCACUGAAGUACAAUGGAGCAUAAGAGAGUAUUACAAACUACUUCAUACCCACAACGUGGGUAACCUAAGACACAGAAAGAUGUUUUCAUUCCAAUAUAGUUUACCAAGAAUGAAGUAAGGUCUGGAGAGAUGGCUCUGGCUCAGUGGUCCGGAGGUAUGGUGCUCUUCCUGAGUUUGUUAAUAGCCCAUAUCAGGCAGCUCACAACCUUCAAUAACUACAGCUCCAAGAGAUCCAAUACAGUCAUCUGAUCUUUACAGCACUGUGCAUACACACACACAUACAAACACACACACACACACACACACACACACACACACUACAAAUAGGUUGAAUUAGUGAUAAGCACCCUACCCAUGAAUAAAUUUCCCACAUUCUGAUGGCUUCACAGAUGGGUCACACCAAUCGCAGAGAAAAACUAGUAUCAACUCAAACAUUCUCCCCAAAUUUCCUUAAAAACCAAGAAAGUGGGAGUAGUUACAGGAAAGGAUUACCUUCAAACUAAAAUAAGAAAAAGACAUUAUAAGAACAAUUCAAUAGCAAAUACACCAUAUCUUCCAUAAGUAUAGAUAGAAAGCACUCAAGAAAAUGCUAGCAAUGAACUAUAACAGCACAUUUAAAGGCUUAUCCAAUUUGAUGCAGUAAGACUUAUCACAGAACUAUGAAAAUGAUCCAUUUUUGUGGUGUGUAGCAUUACAGAAUGAUGAGCAAAAACCAGGUGGUCGUUAAGGCCAGCCUGGUCUACACAGUGAGUUCUAGACAGCCUACAUAGUGAGACCCUGUCUUAAAAAAAUAAAAACAAAAGUAUAUAAAAGGGCCCACAUUACACAAAGUGUUCAGUUGGCUCUGUGCAAUUCCUAUAAAAGUUCCAGUGCCAAUAUUCACAGGUACAGAAAAGAAAUUCUAAAUUCAUAUGAAAUAUCAAGGAUGAGAGUAAACACAUACACACACAUUCAAACACACAAAUGUAUAUAUGCAUAUAAGUACUAAAUCAAGGCAAUCAUGAAUAAUAAGAACAAUGCUUAAUGUCUGAUCCAGUACUUUCAUGCUGUACUGAAACUUGAAAUAAACUUGUACUAAAACUUAGAAUAAGAAAGUACUUGCAACAACAACAAAAAGGGAAAAGAAAAGACAGACACACUGACCAAUGGAACCCUAUAAGGAACUCAAAUGAAGCCAAGAGCAUAAAGUCAAUUUUGGUUAGAAUAUGGCAAGGCUUUCCAUUUCAUGAGAAAAAUGUGUGUGUGCUGUAUUUUUCACCUAGAAUAAACAUAGUCUCUAGUUAUGAUGAACUUCUUAUGAUUGUUGUACAUUCCAAGAAAGUAAAAUUAGAAAAAAGAAAGUCACUGUAGUAAUAGCUGUUCACAAAAGUGGAUUUUCUUUCUUUCUUUUUUUUUUUUUCUUUUUUGGUUUUUCGAGACAGGGUUUCUCUGUAUUGCUUUGGAGGCUGUCCUGGAACUUGCUCUGUAGACCAGGCUGGCCUCAAACUCACAGAGAUCCACCUAUUUCUGCCUCCUGAGUACUGAGAUUAAAGGUGUGUGCCACCAAUGCCCGGCCUCACAAAAGUUGAUUUUCAUAUGCAGAAAUGUUGGACACUUAUAUAAUUUACAAAAGACAAACUAGAAAAUUGGAUUAUAGUCUAAUUCACAACCAGAAACUAAAACAACAAUAAGAAAACAUAGAGGAAGAAAAAGCUAUGACAUUAUCUGGAACAUGGUUGUCUGUGUUUGACAUCAAAAGUGGAGACAACCCAGGCAAAAAUUAUAUCCGAUUGCAAAGCAAAGGGAAAAUAAUGAACAUUCUAAACAGACAACCUCUUCUGAUUAUGUGUGUGUAUUUGUAUUUGUGCAAGGUGGGGAGUUUUUUCAAAUGGUACAUGCAACAAAGGGUUGCUAUACAAAUCAUCCAAGGAAUGUAAAUAAUUCAAUAAUAAGAAGAAAAGCAAACAAGCCAUUUGUUGGGUAAGGAUCCAAACCUGGGGGAGUGUGACUGAAAUCCUAGCACUUAAGACAGUAGUCAGGAGGAGAUCAAGUUCAGGGCCAGGGUUAACCUUGUCUAAAAAGAAAGACUUUGUCUUACAAAGAAAAUAAAAUGACAAGGACUUGAGUAGACAAUUUUUAAAAAGCAGCAUAAAAGUAAAAAUAGACAACAGAUUAAUAAAAAAUUUUUAACAUCAAUGAUCACUGAGAAUCACAAUGAGACAGUGUCUUUCCCAGUCUGAAUAUAUUUUAUGAAAAGCUACUAAUAACAAGUAGUGGUGGCAAGGAUGAGGAAAAAAGGAAACUCAUUCAUACAAUGUGUGUGCUACAAAGCAAGAGGACAGCAUGUAAAGUAAGUUAAAGAUGUAGAUGGAGUAAUGCAUGCUUUUAAAAAGGGAGAUGUACUGCCAUUAUGACGUCAUACAUAUAGAUUGAGAAUAUGCUAAAUGGACUAAGUCAAGAUCUACAUAGACAAAUAUACACACUGUGACUCACAUGUAGCCUAUGACAAAAGGUCUCAAAACUGCAAAGAGUGAAAGGGUCCCAGGCUGGAGGUGAGAGGUGGGUGGAUUGCCACAUAGUCAGAAUGCUUGUAUUCAUCUUUGGAAUGUUUUGUCAUUCCUAUCUAUUUGUAUGUUUUGUUGGAUGGGCAGGCCACCAUGCACAUGUGGUUAGAGGAUGACCGUGUGAGCCCCCCGCAUUGAACUCAGGUCAUCAGGUUUGGCAGCAAGAAUCUUACCUGCUGAGCCAUCUCACUGGUCCCUCCACUUUUCAUUUUUGAGUAACAUUGUACAAUAUGAUAAGUACUGUUAAUAAAGAAUAUUUAAAAAUGCCGA